Molecule: transfer RNA, 76 nt
Filed under: Chloroflexota bacterium
Lineage: Bacteria; Bacillati; Chloroflexota
Also listed under: 1 other name
Description: tRNA-Arg
Rfam family: tRNA
About the family: Transfer RNA (tRNA) molecules are approximately 80 nucleotides in length. Their secondary structure includes four short double-helical elements and three loops (D, anti-codon, and T loops).
Source: RNAcentral
GCCCCUGUAGCUCAGUGGAUAGAGCAAUGGUUUCCUAAACCAUGUGUCGCGUGUUCGAUUCACGCCAGGGGUACCA